GGAGAAUCCUGCCAACGAGCAGUCAUCGACGGUGCGACGCAAGGUUUUGCUGCAUACACCCACCAGCGAGGUGAUUAUGUCAUACGCCUCUCUCGAGCGCAAGCUUCUCGACCUCGGCUGGCAGCGGUAUUACGAUGAUCCCGAGCUCUUUCAGUUCCACAAGAGUUCGUCGGUGGACCUCAUCUCGCUGCCGAGGGAGUUCAGACAGUUCAGGUCGAUGCACAUGUACG
RNAcentral lists this unclassified non-coding RNA (230 nucleotides) under Hevea brasiliensis (rubber tree). The record is from RNAcentral. Lineage: Eukaryota; Viridiplantae; Streptophyta; Magnoliopsida; Malpighiales; Euphorbiaceae.